GCUGUAGCUUAGUGGUGGAGCCCAUGUUUUGAAUGCAAAAGGUCCCAGGUUCAACCCCUAGCAUCUCCA
Non-coding RNA from Podarcis lilfordi (Lilford's wall lizard), 69 nucleotides. The record is from the annotation of a GenBank genome assembly. Lineage: Eukaryota; Metazoa; Chordata; Lepidosauria; Squamata; Lacertidae.